This 147-nucleotide small nuclear RNA is filed under the name Echinops telfairi (small Madagascar hedgehog). RNAcentral's name for it is "U1 spliceosomal RNA (ENSETEG00000021084.1)". It matches the Rfam family "U1 spliceosomal RNA", at positions 1 to 148 of the family's 166-position model. Rfam says of the family: U1 is a small nuclear RNA (snRNA) component of the spliceosome (involved in pre-mRNA splicing). Its 5' end forms complementary base pairs with the 5' splice junction, thus defining the 5' donor site of an intron. The record is from RNAcentral. Lineage: Eukaryota; Metazoa; Chordata; Mammalia; Afrosoricida; Tenrecidae.
AUACUUACCUGGCAGGGGAGAUACCAUGAUCAUGAAGGUGGUUUUCCCAGGGCGAGGCUCACCCAUUGCACUCCGGGUGUGCUGACCCCUGUGAUUUCCCCAAAUGUGGGAAACUCGACUGCAUAAUUUGUGGUAGUGGGGGGAUUA